AUUGAACGCUGGCGGCAGGCCUAACACAUGCAAGUCGGACGGUAGCACAGAGAGCUUGCUCUUGGGUGACGAGUGGCGGACGGGUGAGUAAUGUCUGGGGAUCUGCCCGAUAGAGGGGGAUAACCACUGGAAACGGUGGCUAAUACCGCAUAACGUCGCAAGACCAAAGAGGGGACCUUCGGGCCUCUCACUAUCGGAUGAACCCAGAUGGGAUUAGCUAGUAGGCGGGGUAAUGGCCCACCUCGGCGACGAUCCCUAGCUGGUCUGAGAGGAUGACCAGCCACACUGGAACGGAGACACGGGCCAGGCUCCUACGGGAGGCAGCAGUGGGGAAUAUUGCACAAUGGGCGCAAGCCUGAUGCAGCCAUGCCGCGUGUAUGAAGAAGGCCUUCGGGUUGUAAAGUACUUUCAGCGGGGAGGAAGGCGGUGAGGUUAAUAACCUUGCCGAUUGACGUUACCCGCAGAAGAAGCACCGGCUAACUCCGUGCCAGCAGCCGCCGUAA
This 503-nucleotide ribosomal RNA is filed under the name uncultured bacterium. RNAcentral describes it as "partial 16S ribosomal RNA". It matches the Rfam family "Bacterial small subunit ribosomal RNA", at positions 29 to 523 of the family's 1533-position model. The record is from RNAcentral.